Molecule: small nuclear RNA, 107 nt
Organism: Mesocricetus auratus (golden hamster)
Lineage: Eukaryota; Metazoa; Chordata; Mammalia; Rodentia; Cricetidae
Source: Ensembl
GUGCUCGCUUCAGCAGCGUAUACAAUAAAACUGGCACCAUACAGAGAAGAUUAGUAUGGCCCCUGCACAAGGAUGACACGCAAAUUCAUGAAGUGUUUCAUACUUUU